This 459-nucleotide ribosomal RNA is filed under the name uncultured bacterium. RNAcentral's name for it is "partial 16S ribosomal RNA". It matches the Rfam family "Bacterial small subunit ribosomal RNA", at positions 338 to 795 of the family's 1533-position model. The record is from RNAcentral.
CCUACGGGAGGCAGCAGUGAGGAAUAUUGGUCAAUGGCCGGAAGGCUGAACCAGCCAAGCCGCGUGAAGGACGAAGGUGCCAAGCAUUGUAAACUUCUUUUGUCAAGGGACAAAAUCAGGCUCGAGAGCCUGACCGAGGGUACUUGAAGAAAAAGCAUCGGCUAACUCCGUGCCAGCAGCCGCGGUAAUACGGGGGAUGCGAGCGUUAUCCGGAUUUAUUGGGUUAAAGGGGUGCGUAGGCGGGCUGUAAAGUCAGCGGUAAAAGCCCGGGGCUCAACCCCGGCGAGCCGUUGAAACUGGCGGUCUUGAGAUGUCGAGAGGUAGGCGGAAUGCGCAGUGUAGCGGUGAAAUGCAUAGAUAUCACGAAGAACUCCGAUUGCGAAGGCAGCAUACCGGCUCCAUACUGACGCUGAGGCACGAAAGCGUGGGGAUCGAACAGGAUUAGAUACCCUGGUAGUC